CGCCGCCGCUCCGCCCCUGAGCGCCGGGCGCCCAAAGGCUGCCGGAGCGCUCGUGUUGCGGCAGUCCUCGUUGCCGGGGCUGGCGCGGCCCCUUCGGCGGGGGCUGAGCGGCUUUAUCUGCGCGCCUCGGAAGUGGCCACGGGCUCUGGCUGGCUGAAGAGACCACACUUACCAAGAAGAACAGACAUCUCUAUGUAAACAGAGGCUUUGGAGCAAAGAGUUCUGGCUACGUUAGUCUUUGGAAUACCUGAAAAUACACUGGAACGUACAGAAAUGAAGGAACAGACCCUCAAUGAGUCUUUUCAACACCUGAAGGAAGUCCAGUGGGAAGAAACUGGGAUCAGAAAGGCUGUCUUUAAAGGAGGCUGUGUUCUGUCAUCAGGAGAAGAGAGGGGAAUCCCCUCGUACUGUUUCAGCCUAUUGGAUGUGCUGCUGUGCAUCGUUCAGGUUUGUGAACCAAGUGUAAGUACUGGCUGGUUACAGGUGCUGUCUGUCUCAGAGGCUGCUAUUUUCCAGUUGUCAUUUGUGAACUUUGAAAAAAAACUUUUCAUUUGUUUGUGGCAUUUGUCUUAACUGUCUUAUAACAGAGUGUAAAACAAAGAUUGUGUUUUCAUUGUGCA
Molecule: long non-coding RNA, 620 nt
Filed under: Apteryx haastii (Great spotted kiwi)
Lineage: Eukaryota; Metazoa; Chordata; Aves; Apterygiformes; Apterygidae
Description: lncRNA (ENSAHAG00000003931.1)
Source: RNAcentral